Molecule: long non-coding RNA, 523 nt
Organism: Herpailurus yagouaroundi (jaguarundi)
Lineage: Eukaryota; Metazoa; Chordata; Mammalia; Carnivora; Felidae
Exons: 2
Source: RefSeq, a predicted model, not a curated record
CCCCGACCUGGCUUCUUGUUACUCAGGUCUAUCUCCGGCCCAGAUCCUGCUCAGUUCUGCCAAGGCCCAGCGUAGGAUUGGUCAGUUCUGAUAGAAUGUUCUACAUAGUAGCAGGCUGAAGUGUUCCUGAUGAUAAUUCCAUCUCUUGAUUCCGUUUCCAUCCCCUGGGGCAAUACUGAAGACUCCCAUCUUCUGCAUGAGGCUCCUUCAGGGUUUUGAAGACAACUAACGUGUCCCCUUCAGACUUCCCUCAAAGCUGACAGCUCCAGUUCUGGCAACACUUGCUCCGAGUUUCGCUUUCCAGACCUUCAGCAUUCUAGACAUUUUCUGGCAUGACCAAUGUACUCUGGAGAAGUCUUUUAGAAGACUGACCAACUGUCCCAGAUUGGAGAAGACUAAGGAGAUACGACAGGUUAAUCUCUGGAAUCCCCACGUGCCCAAAUCAAUUUGUUUCUGGGACUACCAUAACAAAGCACCACAAACUUGGUGGCUUCAAACAAUAAAAAGGUAUCCUCUCACAGUU